AUGCAAGCCUGCUUCCAGGUAUUUGCCCCUUUGUACUCCUUUCCCACGCUUGGAGGCAUCUGUCCUCGCUUUUCCGAGAAAAAACAAAAUAAAAGCGAUGUGCGGGGGAUUCAGCGGCGGCUGCUCUCCCUUGCAGAGGCAGCCCUGCACUGCCGCUCCGAUGGGUGUCUGAGAACCUUGUUUCAGCGCAAGACGACAUUUGGGAUGUCUUCAGGGCUCGAUAGAGUCCUCAUCCACAGGUCACUCCUCAAGCCCGCGAAAGGGAAAGGACAUCUGCUUAUCCAGCCUGGGCCUACACCGCUGCCAGCACCAUGAAGGACGAGGUGGCUCUUCUGGCUACUGUCACCCUCCUGGGAGUCCUGCUGCAAGGUGAGCUGGCUCCUGUUUUGGGAGCUGGGUGGGCCCUGGACUCCUGCAGCCUGCUUUCUGCCCUCCAGGCCCUGGGGAGGGGCUGGAGGGCCCCUAGCCCAGACUCCUGGGGCCCCAACUCUCUGGCCCCAGCUGAAGGCUGAGAAGCUAGCCCUGUUCUGGCGGUGGGUCCAGAAGACGGGCAGCCGUGGGCCUGGUGCAGCCCUGCUCCAGCUGAUCCCGCCCGCUCCCACUGUCCUCUUUCUGGGGGUUCCAGCAGGACCCAGCUCUGCCUUCAAAGGCAUCCUCUCUGUGCUGGGAUCCACAUGGAGCUGGACAGGGUUGGAACCUGCUCCCCGAGCCCCCAAAGGUGCCUGUGUGGUGGCCUUUUAGACCGGCCCUAGAGGACACAUUCCCAGGCUAGGUAUCCUUGCCACUUGGGCCAUAGUUACCACACCCUGCAGGGGCUAGGACAAGACACAGCCUGGGCAGGGGCCCUGUGGGGGCUGACUUGAUCUCCUGCUGCCCGAGCAAGCUUGGCUCUCAGCCCCUCCUUGUGUAGCCACAGGGCCCCCUUCUAGGUCCUACACUGAUGGUACACAUGCCCUUGGCCCCCACAGGGCACCUAGGAAGGGAUAUGGCCCCAAGGGCACCAGGGCCACAGGACUUGCUGGAAGGCAGCUGGAGACAGCCAGUACUGGGGCUGAGUGGGUGAUGGGGGCCUGACCUGAGGCCAAGAGAAAGGCCCCUGUGCAUUUAGAUUCUCUGGGGCCAGCCCACCCUCCACACCCACCCAUGCUGGCAUGGCCCGGGUGGGACUAGAAGAGUCCCAACAGCAACCACCUGGGGGUAGGGGAGGGGUGUCAGAUAUAGCUCGGGUCCCAAACACCUGACCAGAGAAACUAAGGCAGGAGCGCAUACCACAGUUUGGAGGCACAGGCUCGAGUGAUCCUGGCCUGAUGGGGGG
This 1315-nucleotide long non-coding RNA is filed under the name Ursus maritimus (polar bear). RNAcentral describes it as "lncRNA (ENSUMAG00000024216.1)". The record is from RNAcentral. Lineage: Eukaryota; Metazoa; Chordata; Mammalia; Carnivora; Ursidae.